RNAcentral lists this ribosomal RNA (263 nucleotides) under uncultured bacterium. RNAcentral describes it as "partial 16S ribosomal RNA". It matches the Rfam family "Bacterial small subunit ribosomal RNA", at positions 90 to 354 of the family's 1533-position model. The record is from RNAcentral.
ACUGAGCGGCGACGGGUGAGUAACGCGUGGGCAACCUGCCUUACACAGGGGGAUAACAGUUAGAAAUGACUGCUAAUACCGCAUAAGACCACAGGACUGCAUGGUCCGGUGGUAAAAACUCCGGUGGUGUAAGAUGGGCCCGCGUCUGAUUAGGUAGUUGGCGGGGUAACGGCCCACCAAGCCGACGAUCAGUAGCCGACCUGAGAGGGUGACCGGCCACAUUGGGACUGAGACACGGCCCAGACUCCUACGGAAGGCAGCAG